Molecule: ribosomal RNA, 721 nt
Filed under: Lutibacter sp.
Lineage: Bacteria; Pseudomonadati; Bacteroidota; Flavobacteriia; Flavobacteriales; Flavobacteriaceae
Description: bacterial SSU rRNA
Rfam family: Bacterial small subunit ribosomal RNA
Source: RNAcentral
GAUGAACGCUAGCGGCAGGCUUAACACAUGCAAGUCGAGGGGUAACAGGGAUGAGCUUGCUUUUUCGCUGACGACCGGCGCACGGGUGCGUAACGCGUAUAGAACCUACCUUUUACAGGGGAAUAGCCCAGAGAAAUUUGGAUUAAUGCCCCAUAGUAUUAUUGAAUGGCAUCAUUUAAUAAUUAAACAUUUAUGGGUAAAAGAUGGCUAUGCGUUCUAUUAGCUAGAUGGUAAGGUAACGGCUUACCAUGGCAACGAUAGAUAGGGGUCCUGAGAGGGAGAUCCCCCACACUGGUACUGAGACACGGACCAGACUCCUACGGGAGGCAGCAGUGAGGAAUAUUGGACAAUGGAGGCAACUCUGAUCCAGCCAUGCCGCGUGCAGGAAGACGGUCCUAUGGAUUGUAAACUGCUUUUAUAUAGGAAGAAACCUUUCCACGUGUGGAAAGCUGACGGUACUAUAAGAAUAAGCACCGGCUAACUCCGUGCCAGCAGCCGCGGUAAUACGGAGGGUGCAAGCGUUAUCCGGAAUCAUUGGGUUUAAAGGGUCCGUAGGCGGACUAAUAAGUCAGGGGUGAAAUCCAACAGCUUAACUGUUGAACUGCCUUUGAUACUGUUAGUCUUGAGUUAUAUGGAAGUAGAUAGAAUAUGUAGUGUAGCGGUGAAAUGCUUAGAGAUUACAUAGAAUACCGAUUGCGAAGGCAGUCUACUACGUAUAUAC